RNAcentral lists this ribosomal RNA (260 nucleotides) under uncultured Burkholderiales bacterium. RNAcentral's name for it is "partial 16S ribosomal RNA". It matches the Rfam family "Bacterial small subunit ribosomal RNA", at positions 524 to 783 of the family's 1533-position model. Lineage: Bacteria; Pseudomonadati; Pseudomonadota; Betaproteobacteria; Burkholderiales. The record is from RNAcentral.
UACGUAGGGUGCAAGCGUUAAUCGGAAUUACUGGGCGUAAAGCGUGCGCAGGCGGUUUUGUAAGACAGUGGUGAAAUCCCCGGGCUCAACCUGGGAACUGCCAUUGUGACUGCAAGGCUAGAGUGCGGCAGAGGGGGAUGGAAUUCCGCGUGUAGCAGUGAAAUGCGUAGAUAUGCGGAGGAACACCGAUGGCGAAGGCAAUCCCCUGGGCCUGCACUGACGCUCAUGCACGAAAGCGUGGGGAGCAAACAGGAUUAGAU